RNAcentral lists this ribosomal RNA (274 nucleotides) under uncultured bacterium. RNAcentral's name for it is "partial 16S ribosomal RNA". It matches the Rfam family "Bacterial small subunit ribosomal RNA", at positions 523 to 796 of the family's 1533-position model. The record is from RNAcentral.
AUACGGAGGGUGCAAGCGUUAAUCGGAAUUACUGGGCGUAAAGCGUACGUAGGCGGUUAUUUAAGUCAGAUGUGAAAGCCCCGGGCUUAACUUGGGAACUGCAUUUGAAACUGGGUAACUCGAGUUUAGUAGAGGGGAGUGGAAUUUCAGGUGUAGCGGUGAAAUGCGUAGAGAUCUGAAGGAACACCAGUGGCGAAGGCGACUCCCUGGACUAAAACUGACGCUGAGGUACGAAAGCGUGGGUAGCAAACAGGAUUAGAAACCCCAGUAGUCC